CCCGGUGGCCAUAGCGGAGGGGAGACACCCGGAACCAUUCCGAACCCGGAAGUUAAGCCCUCCAGCGCCGAUGAUACUGCCUGGGGAACUGGGCGGGAAAGUAGGACGCUGCCGGGA
This 117-nucleotide ribosomal RNA is filed under the name Candidatus Caldatribacterium oleiphilum. Lineage: Bacteria; Pseudomonadati; Atribacterota; Atribacteria; Atribacterales; Candidatus Caldatribacteriaceae. The record is from RNAcentral.